AUACGGGGGGUGCAAGCGUUAAUCGGAAUUACUGGGCGUAAAGCGUCCGCAGGCGGCCGGCCAGGUCGGCGGUGAAAGCUCCCGGCUCAACUGGGAGAGGUCCGUCGAAACCGGUCGGCUCGAGGGUCGGAGAGGGGGGUGGAAUUCCCGGUGUAGCGGUGAAAUGCGCAGAUAUCGGGAGGAACACCGGUGGCGAAGGCGGCCCCCUGGCCGACCCCUGACGCUCAGGGACGAAAGCGUGGGGAGCAAACAGGAUUAGAAACCCUAGUAGUCC
This 274-nucleotide ribosomal RNA is filed under the name uncultured bacterium. RNAcentral describes it as "partial 16S ribosomal RNA". It matches the Rfam family "Bacterial small subunit ribosomal RNA", at positions 523 to 796 of the family's 1533-position model. The record is from RNAcentral.